UUGCCUCAGUAACGGCGAGUGAAGCGGCAACAGCUCAGAUUUGAAAUCUGGCCCCGGCCCGGGGUCCGAGUUGUAAUCUGUAGAGGAUGCUUCGGGGGCGGGCUGGGUCUAAGUUCCUUGGAACAGGACGUCAGAGAGGGUGAGAGUCCCGUCUGUGGCCCCUCCCCUUGUCCCCUGGUGAAGCUCCCUCGACGAGUCAAGUUGUUUG
This 208-nucleotide ribosomal RNA is filed under the name uncultured fungus. Its description in RNAcentral is "partial 28S ribosomal RNA". It matches the Rfam family "Eukaryotic large subunit ribosomal RNA", at positions 75 to 276 of the family's 3401-position model. Lineage: Eukaryota; Fungi. The record is from RNAcentral.